This 235-nucleotide ribosomal RNA is filed under the name uncultured bacterium. RNAcentral's name for it is "partial 16S ribosomal RNA". It matches the Rfam family "Bacterial small subunit ribosomal RNA", at positions 333 to 559 of the family's 1533-position model. The record is from RNAcentral.
ACGGUCCUACGGGGCGCAGCAGUAGGGAAUCUUCGGCAAUGGACGAAAGUCCGACCGAGCAACGCCGCGUGAGUGAAGAAGGAUUUCGGAUCGUAAAACUCUGUUGGUAGAGAAGAACGUUGGUGAGAGUGGAAAGCUCAUCAAGUGACGGUAACUACCCAGAAAGGGACGGCUAACUACGUGCCAGCAGCCGCGGUAAUACGUAGGUCCCGAGCGUUGUCCGGAUUUAUUGGGC